This is a long non-coding RNA of Calidris pugnax (ruff), 2074 nucleotides long. RefSeq lists it as uncharacterized. Lineage: Eukaryota; Metazoa; Chordata; Aves; Charadriiformes; Scolopacidae. The transcript is spliced from 7 exons. The record is from RefSeq and is a predicted model, not a curated record.
UCUGCCGGUGUGGGGCUGCACACGCAGCCGGGGAACCCCGCGGGGCCACCGCCGCCAGCCCCGGCUGCCUCCAGGGAGGUUCUCAUUUCUAGGGUUUGCUUGGCCUGCAUUUUUAUUGCCCCAUUCGAAAAACUGAAAAGCAGCAGUUAGAGUGCUGGGGGAGGGAUGCCCUUGCAGAUCGGCUCAGCUCUGGUGUGACCCUGGGAAAGGGUCUGUCAGCGCCGCUCCCCAAAGGCACAAGCCCAUGUCCCACGCGUGGCAGCUUUGGCACUCAAAGACUGAAAUGUGCUGUAGUGCCACAGGUCCAGCUUGAAGCAGAGGCCGUGGCUCUCUGCCUUUUCUGCUACACGCACAUGAGAGCUCCGUGAAGGCAAGGAGAUGAGAGAACAUCACUGAUAUAGCAACAAAGGACAACAUCAGAUCCAGUGGGAACAGGAAGUGAUUGGAGGAUGCUUUUCUUAGGCCUUGUUUUCACAAAUAGAUUGAAGAGACGAAACCCUAGCAAAAGAGAAGGUUUCAAUUACUUUAACUUGCCAGAACGACACUCCCAUUACUGCCAGACUGUCUGGUUCUAACAACUAGACAGAGAAGAGUUAGGUCUUCGGAAGAUGUAGCUCUUCUUUAAGAAGUACUUACUGUUCCUGUCACUGCACAUAAUCCCAAGAACAACCUCCUCUGGCACUUACUACAACAAGUGAGAAUAAUUCUGAUGCCUAAUUAAGACUUCAUGAUCCCUAAUGUUUUCAACUCCUACAUUUACAAAACCUUUUUGAGACAAAUCUAAAAAUACAGAAAUGGUAUUAUGUUUCUUCUCAGAUACAUAACAAUACUUAUUUUAUGCUUAAAUACUUAAUUCAUUAAUUUGCUUUACAUCUAUCAAAAUAAAGAUUACCCAAAGCUCAAGUUUGAUUCAGAAUCAAUAAUGUCAAAAGCUCAAAAGUCUUUAGCGCAUGAUACUAGAAUUUGCAAGGGAUCAGCCUCUGGCACAAUUCUACCAUUUUUUAGUUAAAAUCUCAUAAGAGUAAUUGUUCUCAUAAUAUUCCUGCUGGAUCUGAAAUAAAGCUCACAAAUAGGUCCUUUGACCAUCUAACUUAAGAAACCACAAGAAAAAACACAAACCUGUCAAACCUAACCUAACCAUAGUUAAGACCAUCCAGUAAAAUCCCACUGAUUUUGUUCAUGUCAUGAAUAGCUAAUCCUUAUUUUUAUGGCUUGAAGACAGAGCAGUGUGUGCAAACCCAAGAAGAAAGCCCUUUUUUUUUUAUGCUGUCUUCAUUUAUUCUGAAAGCCUAUGGAUUCUUAGACAUGCUUCUGCAGAUAAGGAUGGAAUAUCUGCAGAACACCAGAACAAUUCAUUAGCUACUCCAAUUACAUUUGAAAAUUACCUUUUGUUCAGGAAAAUCUUUAGGUAAGGUAUUUUCAACCUGGAAAGCAACCUUACAUCAUGUCACAUCUGCUUCUCCUCAGCAGAAGCUGCUCUUUUUCUUGAUAUAUUCUCCUGCAGGUGUCUCUGUUCUUUCUCUCCACCUCCAGCACCAUUCACCUGAAAGAUAAUAGAUUAUUGCAGAACACUGGAUUCACCACAGAUUGCUGCCAUCCCAUAGUCCUGGGAAAAAGAGAUAUCACAAUUACUGUACUCAAAUAUUUAUUAUGUUAUUGAUAAAAAGCAGCAGGGCAGCCCUUGUAGCUUUUUCGCGUAUCUUCUCCACAUGAAGGAACUUAUGCUUGACCUAAUAUCAACUAGAAUAAUUCAAAAAGCAACAACAAAUCAAUGCACUGAUAUAAUUAUAAAUGAAGUUUCUUUCUGGACAGGGAAAAGAGAGGCUAUUUUGAAAGAGUACUAUAACAGCAUUAUAACAGAAGGGGGUAUUUAUAUUAAAUCUUAAAUGAUGAACACAAGAAUAACUUCCAAUCAAAAAGGUUAUAAAAGUAGCAAAAAUUUUAAAAGUAAAAAGCCUUGAUUUUCCUCAUAUGCAUGUAACCUUCCAUACCACUACUUUUUUUGAUAGCAAGAACGAGACUAGGAAUCAGACCUAUUCACUGUCCUUAGUUCAGCUUGAAGUGAAAGAUGAGU